Molecule: ribosomal RNA, 253 nt
Filed under: uncultured bacterium
Lineage: Bacteria
Description: partial 16S ribosomal RNA
Rfam family: Bacterial small subunit ribosomal RNA
Source: RNAcentral
UACGGGGGGGGCGAGCGUUAUUCGGAAUUAUUGGGCGUAAAGGGCGCGUAGGCGGCCUGGCAAGUGGAAGGUGAAAUCCCUCGGCUUAACCGGGGAACUGCGUCUGAUACUGGAUGGCUUGAAUCCGGGAGAGGGAUGCGGAAUUCCAGGUGUAGCGGUGAAAUGCGUAGAUAUCUGGAGGAACACCGGUGGCGAAGGCGGCAUCCUGGACCGGCAUUGACGCUGAGGAGCGAAAGCCAGGGGAGCAAACGGG